Molecule: ribosomal RNA, 497 nt
Filed under: uncultured bacterium
Lineage: Bacteria
Description: partial 16S ribosomal RNA
Rfam family: Bacterial small subunit ribosomal RNA
Source: RNAcentral
GAUGAACGCUGGCGGCGUGCCUAAUACAUGCAAGUCGAGCGAACAGACGAGGAGCUUGCUCCUUUGACGUUAGCGGCGGACGGGUGAGUAACACGUGGGUAACCUACCUAUAAUACUGGGAUAACUUCGGGAAACCGGAGCUAAUACCGGAUAAUAUUUCGAACCGCAUGGUUCGAUAGUGAAAGAUGGCUCUGCUAUCACUUAUAGAUGGACCUGCGCCGUAUUAGCUAGUUGGUAAGGUAACGGCUUACCAAGGCAACGAUACGUAGCCGACCUGAGAGGGUGAUCGGCCACACUGGAACUGAGACACGGUCCAGACUCCUACGGGAGGCAGCAGUAGGGAAUAUUCCGCAAUGGGCGAAAGCCUGACGGAGCAACGCCGCGUGAGUGAUGAAGGUCUUCGGAUCGUAAAACUCUGUUAUUAGGGAAGAACAAAAGUGUAAGUAACUGUGCACGUCUUGACGGUACCUAAUCAGAAAGCCACGGCUAACUACGUG